This is a non-coding RNA of Phrynosoma platyrhinos (Desert horned lizard), 72 nucleotides long. The record is from the annotation of a GenBank genome assembly. Lineage: Eukaryota; Metazoa; Chordata; Lepidosauria; Squamata; Phrynosomatidae.
GCAAGUGUGGCAUAGUGGUUUGAGUGUUGGACUGUGACUCUGCAGAUGAGGGUUUGAAUCCCCUCUCAAACA